GGGUGAGUAAUACAUCGGAACGUGUCCAGUAGCGGGGGAUAACCUCUCGAGAGAGAGGCUAAUACCGCAUACGUCCUACGGGAGAAAGAGGGGGAUCGCAAGACCUCUCACUAUUGGAGCGGCCGAUGUCGGAUUAGCUAGUUGGCGGGGUAACGGCCCACCAAGGCUACGAUCCGUAGCUGGUCUGAGAGGACGACCAGCCACACUGGAACUGAGACACGGUCCAGACUCCUACGGGAGGCAGCAGUGGGGAAUUUUGGACAAUGGGCGCAAGCCUGAUCCAGCCAUGCCGCGUGGGUGAAGAAGGCCUUCGGGUUGUAAAGCCCUUUCGGCUGGGACG
RNAcentral lists this ribosomal RNA (340 nucleotides) under uncultured bacterium. RNAcentral's name for it is "bacterial SSU rRNA". It matches the Rfam family "Bacterial small subunit ribosomal RNA", at positions 104 to 447 of the family's 1533-position model. The record is from RNAcentral.